Molecule: regulatory RNA element, 81 nt
Organism: Paenibacillus stellifer
Lineage: Bacteria; Bacillati; Bacillota; Bacilli; Caryophanales; Paenibacillaceae
Rfam family: c-di-GMP-I-GGC riboswitch aptamer
Source: Rfam
CACGAUAACGGCAAACCUGUCGAAAGGCAGGGACGCAAAGCUAGAGGGCCUUCCCGUAAGGAUGGCAGCCAGCUACCGAAA